Molecule: non-coding RNA, 194 nt
Filed under: Clostridium cuniculi
Lineage: Bacteria; Bacillati; Bacillota; Clostridia; Eubacteriales; Clostridiaceae
Description: SAM riboswitch (S box leader)
Rfam family: SAM riboswitch aptamer (S box leader)
About the family: The SAM riboswitch is found upstream of a number of genes which code for proteins involved in methionine or cysteine biosynthesis in Gram-positive bacteria. The SAM riboswitch acts at the level of transcription termination control.
Source: RNAcentral
UUUAUUAAGAAUGGUGGAGGGACUGGCCCUGAGAAGCCUAGCAACCUGUCGCAAGUGACAAGUAACAAGUGGCAAGUGAAUAGUUAAUAAUAAAGUUCCAUAAGGAGUUUUAAAUAAUUUGAAACUUAUCACUUGAAACUUGUCACUCAUUGACGCUGGUGCUAAAUCCUGCAGGUUUAACCUGAGAAAUGAGA